GAUCCUGGCUCAGGACGAACGCUGGCGGCGUGCUUAACACAUGCAAGUCGAACGAGAAUCUGCGGAUCGAGGAUUCGUCCAAGUGAAGCAGAGGACAGUGGCGGACGGGUGAGUAACGCGUGAGGAACCUGCCUUUUCAGAGGGGGGACAACAGUUGGAAACGACUGCUAAUACCGCAUGAUACGUUUUAGGGGCAUCCCUGAGACGUCAAAGAUUUAUCGCUGAAAGAUGGCCUCGCG
RNAcentral lists this ribosomal RNA (239 nucleotides) under uncultured bacterium. Its description in RNAcentral is "partial 16S ribosomal RNA". It matches the Rfam family "Bacterial small subunit ribosomal RNA", at positions 15 to 235 of the family's 1533-position model. The record is from RNAcentral.